UGUGCAGAGUGUGAUGGAAUUUUUGACCUCCUGGUUUCUGACCUUUUCUAGAACAAACUCUGUCACCAAAAUCUGAAUGGUAAUAUAGUUAAAACUGGUGUUAAUUGUAUCACUUUUACUUUAAUAUAUGUGCAUGAUGUUUUUCUUGCAUGCAACAAAUAUUUUGUUUCUUUUUUCUUUUUUUUUUUCUUUUGUUUUUGCAAAUUCUGACAAAAAGAAGGACACAAGGAAUUAUGUUUCUUGUGUGUUAACAUCAUCUAAGUCCUCUUUGUGGAAGCACAGAGAGUCCCUCAAAGAAUAAUAGUGCCUGAAUGUUGAUGCAGCACAGCAGCAUCUGGGUAUUCUGUUAUAAUCCUUUCAGCUCUUUUGGGCUUGGGCUUUUUUUUUUCUUAGAUUCUCGGUGUAAAUAUGUCUGAUUGUGAGAGCAUGCCAGUGUGAAUUACAAUGUCUGUGCUCAUGCGAUAUGUAUGUACUGUGUUUUAAAGUUCAUACAACGGGCACUGAAAUUUGUAUGGUAAUUGCUGCUUAGAAUAUUAAUAAUGCAUUCAGCAUAUUCGCUGUUGGGUGGGAGUGUAUGUACAGUUAGGAGAAAUGAGCCUUGGCUUUGCAUUAAUACCUUGUAUUUAAGGGAUCCCCCAUCCCCCCACCCUUAGCUCUCCCUGUGCCGUCGUGCAUUAAAGAGCAGGAGAUUUCAUUAUGUGUAUCUGAGGUGCUUUGGAAAUUUUCAGUUACUGCUAAGCAAGCAUGAAAACAGCUGAGUUGUUGUUGGUGUCCAGCAAUGAUGAGUCUCUCUCUUAGAUCUACUGACAUGUAGAGGUAAUUCUAGAUUAAUCGUUUACCUGGGUUAAAAAAUUAUUUGAAGAUGAGGCGAAUAAAGUGUAACAUUUUUGUUCAAAUUCUACUGAAAAUCAGUUAAAUGAGCAGUUGGAUGUAUAAAACUUAAGAUGCUGUCUAAGGACUUUGGUGCUGUAAUGCUUUGUGCUUUGAUUCCACAAUCGUGUGUGAAAAAUCUUACAAUGCUCCCAUUAUUACUCAUUCUUGCUUUUGUGAUGACGAGGGACUCCAGCUGGAGCCUUUUCUGUUCUCUCUGUUUGAAUCAGCACUGAUCAGCUGUGACUUUCUGUUAUUUUCUGUUCUCCUAUUUUUGCUCAUCUCACUGUGUUUCUCUCAUUCCCUGUUGGUCAAUUGCCUUCCAUUGUGACCCGGUGUGUUUGCGUGGGCGGAGUGAGUACUGUUCUCUGUGGGCGGCCGUCCUGAAUCACACAGGCUUCCUGUGUUACAUGAAUAGGCGAGCCAUACAGGAAUGCGCUCCUACAUUUACAAUAAGAACUCUGUGAUUGGCUCACAGGCAGAACACUGCGGGAUGCGGACAUAUUUCUUCAGUGCGGACACACAGGAGGACAUGAAUGGCUGGAUCCGGGCCAUGAACCAGGCUGCGCUGAUGCAGCAGAGUCACAUGAUAAAGAGAGAGGUGGAGAAACCAGAGAAAGCUGCACAACAGGCGGUCCCACAGACCAACCAUGUCCACACUAACCAGAGCUCAUCUCAGCCAGAAAGUGCAAACAGGACAGACAGAGGGGAAGCUCAGAGCAAUGGUAUCAGACUGGCUCAUGGAGACGAGGUGAGGUAUGGAUUAGAGAUCCAGGGGAAACCCAGCCAGACAGCCCCACAGGAGAGAGUAGAGAGACUGUCUCCAGACGCUGUUAAUGGUGCUGCCCAUAAGAAUGGACAAAAGACUGUAAUCCAAGUGGCUCUGCCACCAGAACAAAACGGAAAUCUUGUCUAUCAGAGGGGUUUCGUUACAAGGGCAGACACUGAGAAGCAUGUUCAGAGGAAGAACACGUUGGCUCAGGUGGAGCACUGGGUCAAAGUUCAAAAAGGAGACCCCCCGAAGAGUGCUCCCUCUGCUGAGUUCAACCUCCCUCGAUGGACUCCUCCUUUAAAGCCCAAAUCAAGUGCAGCAGAUGUCACCUAUCAGUCAUUGCCAAAGUCUCCCCGUCUACCCUGUGGCAGCAGCUCUCCUCCAGCAACAUGCAAUCUGCCCAGUGACUACAAGUACGCCCAUGACCGGCUCAGCCACUUCCGCAUGUCCACUGACGAACGAAUGGCCACCAAGGAGGGAAUGGUGUGGCAGCUGUAUGAGUGGCAGCAGCGGCAGCAGUUUCGUCACGGCAGCCCCACCGCUCCUAUUUACACUGGCCCCAACUUCACAGACUCCUCAUCGUUCAGAGUUACUGUAGAAAUGCCACGCUCCAUCUCUGUUCCUCCAUCGCCAUGUGAAGUCCCACCAUCGUCCUUCAAGCCCCUGUCCCCACGCAGGCCACACACUCCUUCAGACAGACGCACAGUAAGGCCCUUGGAUGAAUUGGCACCAGGGGACAGCACAAGAUCAAGCUCACCCGGGCAUUUUUGUGCCCAUCUUUCUCAGACUUCCCAAAUAGAGAGGAGGUCCGUGCCAGCCAUGGGCUACAUCACACACACAGUCAGUGCUCCCAGCUUGCAUGGCAAAACGCCAGAGGAGCUGACUCUGCUCCUCAUUCAGCUUCGGAGGCACCAGGCCAAGAUGGCUGGUGCGCAUAGUCCCAGCAAUGCAUUCGCUCACCUGCAGCACCACCAGCACAACGGCCUUCUAGGCCCCAGCAUGCAGGCUGAUGAUACUUACAUACAACUGAAGAAGGACCUGGAGUAUCUAGAUCUGAAGGUGGGCCCCAACAAAGUUACUGGACGUGACAGUUUAAAGAAAGAAAGACCAUCAAGGCCUGUGAAAAUAGCAGAAAGUGAUGCUGAUGUGAAAUUAAGUCGACUGUGUGAACAAGACAAGAUUCUACAGGAGCUAGAGGCUAGGAUACGCACUCUGAAAGAGGACAAGGACAAGUUAGAGUCUGUGCUGGAUGUUUCCCACCAGCAGAUGGAGGACUACAGAGAUCAGCCAGCUCAUGCUGAGAAAAUUGCCUAUCAGCAGAAAUUACUACAAGAGGACGUGGUCCAUAUCAGGGCUGAAAUAUCUCAAGUAUCCACAGAGAUGGAGAACGCAUGGAAUGAGUACAGCCGGCUUGAGAGAGACGUGGACUGGCUGAAGUCAGCCCUGCAGGGACAGAUGAGCCGCUGUGAUCUUUCUCAGCAAGAGAAGGUCCAGAUCAGAAAGGAGCUUUGGAGGAUUGAGGAUGUUAUCGCAGGUCUCAGCAACAGUAAAGCCAACUACAAAGUCACCAUCUCCUCUGUUACCAACCCAGAGAGGAAAUUUGUGCCUUCGGUGUCAGUGUCAUCAGUGCCUUCUGUGUCUGGGAGCGCGUCUGCUAUGGAGAUGAGAUUGUCCCAGCAGCAGCAGCACAGCCCCCACCUCAGUCCCAGUAGCCACACCCCCACCCUUUCCUCUAGUCUCAGCCAGCAGCCAUUACACCAUUCUACAGCUGUCAUCAGUGGGCCUAAGUGGAAUGAGGAAGAUGUGCCUCCCAGACCUCCUCUACCUCAGCUCUACAGUCCCGAUGAGCAUCCCCCCGCUGUGCCUCCCUUGCCCCGGGAGACAACAGUCAUCAGACACACCUCUGUACGUGGCCUCAAACGUCAGUCAGACGAACGUAAAAGGGACCGAGAGACUGGGCAGUACACAAACGGGGACGGCAAGGUGGAACUCAGGCCUUUCCUGAGUGAUCCAGAACUCAUGGGAGCUGGAGAUGGCUCCAGUCACAUUAGUGUUGUAACACCUGGGCAUGACGGAGGUUACAAGACAUUACCGAGCAGAGGAACGGGUGGAUCUUCACUUAGGUUAAAUCAGUCUUCGAACAUCUCCUCAUACGUGACCCUCCGAAGAGCAACGUCAGCAGUUGGCAUAAAGGAGAGACCAAAAAGUGCCUUGGAGCGUCUGUACUCUGUGGACCCGGCGCAGCAGCAGCAGAGGGGGAAGAUGAGCGCCGAUGAGCAGCUGGAGAGGAUGAAGAGGCACCAGAAGGCCCUCGUCCGCCAGCGCAAACGCACCCUGAGUCACGGAGACCGCCACGCCGCUUCGUCGUCACGCACGUCAUCCUCACGCCCGCUUUCAGCAGACUUGGGAUCAUGGAAGAGAGAGCAGGAGUUUGACCUGCAGUUACUCGAGAGGGCGGUUCAGGGGGAGGAGGCUCAGGGAGUUAGGAGUGUCCAGGGGGAGGAAAGACCUCCCGAGCACAAAGAGAGACCCCGCUCGCAUUCGGAUGAAUGGCUGACCUUCCGCUCCACGGCCACAACCCCCCUCCCACCCAUGAGGUUGACCUGGAACCUCUGGACUAUGACCUGGACCUUAACAAAGAGCUGUCCAAACCUCAGAAAGUGUCGAUUCCAGAGCGCUACGUGGACUCGGAGCCUGAGGAGCCACUCAGUCCUCAAGAAGUGGAGGAGCGUCAUCGUAAGGUGGAGCGCAUCAAAAGCAUCUUGGCAAAGUCCAGUGUGCAAAACCUAGCACCAGCGGUGUCUGCGGAGAAGCCAGAAGAGGUGCCAGUGGCGCUCGACUCAGCUCUGCAGGAACAGGAGCGGAUCAUCACCAUGUCCUACGCUCUCGCCUCAGAGGCUUCGCUCAAGAGCAAACUUGUUGCAGCUCAAGCAAUUUCUGGACACUGAGGUGCUAUUUCACACUGACAACAAUCCACUGGGUUUUCAAAGAAAAGAGGAUUUUUGUUUGAUUCGGGACAUUUUUAUAUGCAGCAACAGAAAAACGGUAGCGACGCCUUGACCUUGCUCUCUUGAGAUGUAUGCAGCAACAACUAACUGAGGUGUUUCAAAGCUGCUGAAAGCAACUUUCUGUAGAAAACCUGAGGACUUCGCUGUGGGAGCGGCUGUGCUUAUCAAAUAUGGAAAUGUCUAAAAAAAAUGUUAAUCUCAUAAUAGUAAAAUGACAUUUUCUACAAGUUAUCGCACUUUUAACUGUGCACUGUAUCAUAUUUUCAAGACAUGACUGAAUUGCUUUCUUCUUGCAGUGUGAUCGUAACUGGAAAACUCAAAUGGUAUGUGAAGAGCGAGAAGGUACUAAAUGCGUCACGAUGAUAGUAUUUUUGUCAACACUCAGAUAAUAUUCUUAAACCAAACCACUUGAAAUCUCAUAUGUAUGUACUUGUAGCACUGCCAGUCUCCUUUAGGCUUGCCAAAAUAAAUUUUAUUUUUGCUUACAUCAGGAUGAAAAUAACCUCGAACAUAUUUUUUGUGUGACUUGAGAAGGUCAAGCAAUGGAAGUUUAUAAAAAAAAGUGAAUAUUAAAGUUAUUAACACAACA
Molecule: RNA transcript, 5239 nt
Organism: Oreochromis niloticus (Nile tilapia)
Lineage: Eukaryota; Metazoa; Chordata; Actinopteri; Cichliformes; Cichlidae
Gene: plekha7b
Gene name: pleckstrin homology domain containing, family A member 7b
Exons: 21
Source: RefSeq, a predicted model, not a curated record